AUGGAGAAACGCCUUUGAUAAGGAAUAGAAGCUUGCCAGCAGCCACUCGAGUGAGCUUAGGAGUGGGUUCACCAGCACCAGUGAAGCUUUGAGAUAACUGAUGCCCUGGCUGACCCGUUGACUGUAAUCUGAUGAGAGAUGCUGAACCAAAACCAUCCAGAUUGCCACAAAUUGUGCUGCUAAAAUCCUCAGCACUUGGUGUUAUAGUAACCUUGGAAGACAUCCUGAAGAAGACACAGAAGAUCACCACUUUGGCUCAGAAAUGACACUUACAGAUUCUG
This 281-nucleotide long non-coding RNA is filed under the name Homo sapiens (human). RNAcentral's name for it is "HSALNT0125668". The record is from RNAcentral. Lineage: Eukaryota; Metazoa; Chordata; Mammalia; Primates; Hominidae.